This 424-nucleotide ribosomal RNA is filed under the name uncultured bacterium. Its description in RNAcentral is "bacterial SSU rRNA". It matches the Rfam family "Bacterial small subunit ribosomal RNA", at positions 355 to 796 of the family's 1533-position model. The record is from RNAcentral.
UGGGGAAUAUUGGACAAUGGGGGCAACCCUGAUCCAGCAAUGCCGCGUGAGUGAUGAAGGCCUUCGGGUUGUAAAGCUCUUUUGUCAGGGACGAUAAUGACGGUACCUGACGAAUAAGCUCCGGCUAACUUCGUGCCAGCAGCCGCGGUAAUACGAAGGGAGCUAGCGUUGUUCGGAAUUACUGGGCGUAAAGGGCGCGUAGGCGGUCUUAUAAGUUUGGUGUGAAAGCCCUGGGCUUAACCUAGGAAUAGCAUUGGAUACUGUAAGACUUGAGACCGAGAGAGGGAAAUGGAAUUGCGAGUGUAGAGGUGAAAUUCGUAGAUAUUCGCAAGAACACCAGUGGCGAAGGCGAUUUCCUGGCUCGGUACUGACGCUAAGGCGCGAAAGCGUGGGGAGCAAACAGGAUUAGAUACCCCCGUAGUCC